UAACUGAAGAGUUUGAUCAUGGCUCAGAUUGAACGCUGGCGGCAGGCCUAACACAUGCAAGUCGAGCGGAUGAAGGGAGCUUGCUCCUGGAUUCAGCGGCGGACGGGUGAGU
Molecule: ribosomal RNA, 112 nt
Filed under: Pseudomonas aeruginosa
Lineage: Bacteria; Pseudomonadati; Pseudomonadota; Gammaproteobacteria; Pseudomonadales; Pseudomonadaceae
Description: partial 16S ribosomal RNA
Rfam family: Bacterial small subunit ribosomal RNA
Source: RNAcentral